GACGAACGCUGGCGGCGUGCUUAACACAUGCAAGUCGAACGGUGAAGCUCCAGCUUGCUGGGGUGGAUCAGUGGCGAACGGGUGAGUAACACGUGAGCAACCUGCCCCUGACUCUGGAAUAAGCGCUGGAAACGGCGUCUAAUACUGGAUACGAGAAGGGUCCGCAUGGGCACUUUCUGGAAAGUUUUUCGGUUGGGGAUGGGCUCGCGGCUUAUCAGCUUGUUGGUGAGGUAAUGGCUCACCAAGGCGACGACGGGUAGCCGGCCUGAGAGGGCGACCGGCCACACUGGGACUGAGACACGGCCCAGACUCCUACGGGAGGCAGCAGUGGGGAAUAUUGCACAAUGGGCGAAAGCCUGAUGCAGCGACGCCGCGUGAGGGAUGACGGCCUUCGGGUUGUAAACCGCUUUCAGCAGGGAAGAAGCGAAAGUGACGGUACCUGGAGAAGAAGCACCGGCUAACUACGUG
This 468-nucleotide ribosomal RNA is filed under the name uncultured bacterium. RNAcentral's name for it is "partial 16S ribosomal RNA". It matches the Rfam family "Bacterial small subunit ribosomal RNA", at positions 28 to 507 of the family's 1533-position model. The record is from RNAcentral.